CUACGGGGUGCUGCAGUGAGGAAUAUUGCACAAUGGAGGAAACUCUGAUGCAGCAACGCCGCGUGGAGGAUGACGCAUUUCGGUGUGUAAACUCCUUUUAUAUGUCAAGAAAAUGACGGUAGCAUAUGAAUAAGCACCGGCUAACUCCGUGCCAGCAGCCGCGGUAAUACGGAGGGUGCAAGCGUUACUCGGAAUCACUGGGCGUAAAGGACGCGUAGGCGGGUUGGAAAGUCAGGUGUGAAAUCCUACAGCUUAACUGUAGAACUGCACUUGAAACUUCUAAUCUAGAGUAUGGGAGGGGGAGAUGGAAUUAGUGGUGUAGGGGUAAAAUCCGUAGAUAUCACUAGGAAUACCUAAAGCGAAGGCGAUCUCCUGGAACAUUACUGACGCUAAGGCGUGAAAGCGUGGGGAGCAAACAGGAUUAGAUACCCGAGUAGUC
RNAcentral lists this ribosomal RNA (439 nucleotides) under uncultured bacterium. Its description in RNAcentral is "partial 16S ribosomal RNA". It matches the Rfam family "Bacterial small subunit ribosomal RNA", at positions 339 to 795 of the family's 1533-position model. The record is from RNAcentral.